CCUACGGGGGGCAGCAGUGAGGAAUAUUGGUCAAUGGGCGCGAGCCUGAACCAGCCAAGUCGCGUGAGGGAGGACGGCCCUACGGGUUGUAAACCUCUUUUGCCGGGGAGCAACGGGCGUCACGUGUGGCGCCACUGAGAGUCCCCGGAGAAAAAGCAUCGGCUAACUCCGUGCCAGCAGCCGCGGUAAUACGGAGGCUGCGAGAGUUAUCCGGUUUUAUUGGGUUUAAAGGGUGCGUAGGCGGUUCGUUAAGUCGGUGGUAAAAUUGAGGGGCUCAACCCCUGCCCGCCAUUGAAACUGGCGCUCUUGAGUGGAAGAGAAGUAUGCGGAAUGCGUGGUGUAGCGGUGAAAUGCAUAGAUAUCACGCAGAACCCCGAUUGCGAAGGCAGCAUGCCGGCUUCCGACUGACGCUGAGGCACGAAAGCGUGGGGAUCGAACAGGAUUAGAUACCCUUGUAGUC
RNAcentral lists this ribosomal RNA (460 nucleotides) under uncultured bacterium. RNAcentral describes it as "partial 16S ribosomal RNA". It matches the Rfam family "Bacterial small subunit ribosomal RNA", at positions 338 to 795 of the family's 1533-position model. The record is from RNAcentral.